UAUAAAUAAGAUAAAUAUAGACAUAAAGCAAAUUAAUAGACUUGAGGUAAAUUCUAGAUGGAGGUGUAAUUUAGCGAAAGAAGCUAUAGUCUUUGUAAGUGUUGAGGGAGCUGUUUGUCGUGAAUACUGUCCUAGGUCAUUGGAUGGCCUACCAAGUGUUAUCAUCUCCUUGCUCCUUAAUUUAUAAAGGUGUCGUAAUAAGCCUUCUCAAGGCGCCAGACCGGUGGUCCAAGGAGACUAGGCAUGGCUUAAGUGCAACCUAUUGGGUCAGGUUCACUCUAACUAAGCCCUGGCUGUGGUCAUUCCUAACAGAUUUUUCAUUAGUUUGUAUAACAAAAUUUAAUCUAUAAUUAUGUCAUAUAGGUUAACGAUUAUCAACUUGUAGUUAUAAAUCUAUUGUAAUCUCAUAAAGAAAGAAAAAUAAAAAACAAAAAGUAAGCAAAAUAUCAUCUCAUAAUUGAUGUUGAAAUUUUGUUGGAUUUUAGAU
Molecule: long non-coding RNA, 487 nt
Filed under: Durio zibethinus
Lineage: Eukaryota; Viridiplantae; Streptophyta; Magnoliopsida; Malvales; Malvaceae
Description: long non-coding RNA (DZIB_LNC000850)
Source: RNAcentral